CGCUGGACCUUAUGCGCCGGAACUCCUCGAACGGGUCAGGCGGGGAACCGAGCAGCCAUAAGAGACGGUUCCGGGUGCUGUAAGUCAUCUGGCGGCG
RNAcentral lists this signal recognition particle RNA (97 nucleotides) under Lentisphaerota bacterium. RNAcentral's name for it is "Lentisphaerae bacterium (feces metagenome) signal recognition particle sRNA small type". It matches the Rfam family "Bacterial small signal recognition particle RNA". From Rfam's summary of the family: The signal recognition particle (SRP) is a universally conserved ribonucleoprotein involved in the co-translational targeting of proteins to membranes. Archaeal SRP consists of a 7S RNA and homologues of the eukaryotic SRP19 and SRP54 proteins. Lineage: Bacteria; Pseudomonadati; Lentisphaerota. The record is from RNAcentral.